This is an RNA transcript of Amaranthus tricolor (Joseph's coat), 814 nucleotides long. It is a transcript of the gene named geranylgeranyl transferase type-2 subunit beta 1-like, with no coding region annotated. Lineage: Eukaryota; Viridiplantae; Streptophyta; Magnoliopsida; Caryophyllales; Amaranthaceae. The record is from RefSeq and is a predicted model, not a curated record. The transcript is spliced from 5 exons.
CCUUCUCCUCUGCCUUAGUUCUUGAAGAACCCAACAACAAACAACGAAUCUACCCUCAAGAAACUCAAAUCAAGUGCAGCAGCCAUGGCCGCCUUCUUCACCUCGAUUCUCUGAACAACACAAUAACAAUAUUCCUUCUUGCCUUCGAUUUUCGAAGAAAUAAGGGGUAGUUGGGUUCCCUUUGAUUGCUGGGGCGUGAAUUUGAAGCAAACAAUCAACUUCUUGUUCUUCCUUUGAAAUAGACGCCCAAUUCUUCCUGCAAAUUAUGUGAAGAGAGCAGCAUAUCUAUUUGGACAAUCAGUUUUCAACAAAAUUUGACUUAAGUUUACAACGAAAAUGGGGGACUUGGCUGCUGAGAAGCAUGUGCGAUAUAUUAUAUUAGUUGAAAAGUGCAAUAAUUUGCUACGUGUGCCCUUAGAAGAAGGAUGCAUUUGAAUCGGUAGUCAUGGAGCACCUUAGAAUGAAUGGUGCUUACUGGGGGCUGACAACACUAGAUCUUCUCGGAAAGCUUCAAGUUGUGGAUCAAGAUGAAGUUAUUCCAUGGGUUAUGCAGUGUCAACAUGAAUCUGGCAAACAUAUCUUCGUUGGAAAUUUUUGGUACUCAAUGACAAAGUUGGUGAUAGCUACAAGCAUUUUGGAUGCGCGAUGUUUUGGGUUAUGAAGUAGCUAUAUGUGCACUUGUAAAUUUUUGGACUUUUUCAAAGUGCCUAUCACUUGUAAAUUUUUGCAUGAAAACUUGUAUAUGGUAGGAGAAUUAUUUUGGAAAAUUGGUUAUCCGAUCCGUUACAUGUAUAUGAAUUACGAGUAUUUUUGA